This 523-nucleotide long non-coding RNA is filed under the name Callithrix jacchus (white-tufted-ear marmoset). RNAcentral describes it as "lncRNA (ENSCJAG00000081919.1)". Lineage: Eukaryota; Metazoa; Chordata; Mammalia; Primates; Cebidae. The record is from RNAcentral.
GGGAUGGAAGCCUGGGUGCCUGAAUGACUGUGUGGAUUAGUGUUCUUCCCUCAUCCUGAAAAUAUGGGUUGCAAAAACUUGGUGAACUCAUUACAAGUAGACCUGUUCUAUGGAAAAAAAUGUUAAAGUUCUUCAGACAGAAUAUAAUACCAGAUUAAAGAAUCUUGGACCUACUUGAAGAAAUGAAGAGCACUGGAAAUGGCAUUAAUGAAGGGACAUAGAUGAAUCUGGAAACCAUCUUUCUCAGCAAACUGACACAAGAACAGAAGACCAAACACCACAUGUUCUUGCUCAUAGGGAAAUCUCAAGCAGUUUCAUCCAGCAAAUAUACAAGCCUUUUGUGCCUUGAACCCCAAUGCGUAAAGACAUUCACAAACAUCCUGGAAUUGGUGCUGGCUUUCAGCCGGCCUUGUCCUUUCACCAGUUUUAAGAGUUAGGUGAUGCGCCACAUUGUUCUGAGGCAAAGGUUAUCUUCCCUGCCUGGGAUUCCAUCCAGAAACAAAUAAAAAACCAAGGAACCUGC